Molecule: transfer RNA, 61 nt
Filed under: Fulicoffula longipila
Lineage: Eukaryota; Metazoa; Arthropoda; Insecta; Psocodea; Philopteridae
Description: tRNA-Pro
Source: RNAcentral
CAGGAUAAAGUUUUAAAAACAUUAAUCUUGGAUAUUAAAGUGUCUCAUUGAGAUAUCCUGA